Molecule: transfer RNA, 33 nt
Filed under: Crotaphytus bicinctores
Lineage: Eukaryota; Metazoa; Chordata; Lepidosauria; Squamata; Crotaphytidae
Description: partial tRNA-Met
Source: RNAcentral
CCGAAAAUGUAGGUUUAAAUCCCUCCUAUACUA